RNAcentral lists this ribosomal RNA (478 nucleotides) under uncultured bacterium. RNAcentral's name for it is "partial 16S ribosomal RNA". It matches the Rfam family "Bacterial small subunit ribosomal RNA", at positions 28 to 523 of the family's 1533-position model. The record is from RNAcentral.
GACGAACGCUGGCGGCGUGCUUAACACAUGCAAGUCGAACGGUAAGGCCCUUCGGGGUACACGAGUGGCGAACGGGUGAGUAACACGUGGGUGAUCUGCCCUGCACUUCGGGAUAAGCCUGGGAAACUGGGUCUAAUACCGGAUAGGACCACUGCCUGCAUGGGUGGGGGUGGAAAGCUUUUGCGGUGUGGGAUGGGCCCGCGGCCUAUCAGCUUGUUGGUGGGGGGAUGGCCUACCAGGGCGACGACGGGUAGCCGGCCUGGGAGGGUGAGCGGCCACACUGGGACUGAGAGACGGCCCAGACUCCUACGGGGGGCAGCAGGGGGGAAUAUUGCACAAUGGGCGCAAGCCUGAUGCAGCAACGCCGCGUGAGGGAUGACGGCCUUCGGGUUGUAAACCUCUUUUAGCAGGGAAGAAGCGAAAGUGACGGUACCUGCAGAAAAAGCACCGGCUAACUACGUACCAGCCGCCGCGGUAA